UACGUAGGGGGCUAGCGUUGUCCGGAAUCAUUGGGCGUAAAGAGCGUGUAGGCGGCCCGGUAAGUCCGCUGUGAAAGUCGGGGGCUCAACCCUCGAAUGCCGGUGGAUACUGUCGGGCUAGAGUGCGGAAGAGGCGAGUGGAAUUCCUGGUGUAGCGGUGAAAUGCGCAGAUAUCAGGAGGAACACCGGUGGCGAAGGCGGGUCUCUGGGCCGAUACUGACGCUCAGGUGCGAAAGCCAGGGGAGCGAACGGG
This 253-nucleotide ribosomal RNA is filed under the name uncultured bacterium. RNAcentral's name for it is "partial 16S ribosomal RNA". It matches the Rfam family "Bacterial small subunit ribosomal RNA", at positions 524 to 776 of the family's 1533-position model. The record is from RNAcentral.